AGAGUUUGAUCCUGGCUCAGAUUGAACGCUGGCGGCGUGCCUAACACAUGCAAGUCGAGCGGUAACAGGUGUAGCAAUACAUGCUGACGAGCGGCGAACGGGUGAGUAAUGCUUCGGAAUCUACCCAAUGGUGGGGAAUAACCAGCCGAAAGGUUGGCUAAUACCGCAUACGUCCUACGGGAGAAAGCAGGGGAUCGUAAGACCUUGCGCCAAUGGAUGAGCCGAAGUCGGAUUAGCUAGUUGGUAGGGUAACGGCCUACCAAGGCGACGAUCCGUAGCUGGUCUGAGAGGACGACCAGCCACACUGGGACUGAGACACGGCCCAGACUCCUACGGGAGGCAGCAGUGGGGAAUAUUGGACAAUGGGGGAAACCCUGAUCCAGCGACGCCGCGUGUGUGAAGAAGGCCUGCGGGUUGUAAAGCACUUUUAGUGGGGAUGAAAAGUUCAGGGCUAAUACUCCUGGAUCUUGACCUAACCCACA
RNAcentral lists this ribosomal RNA (482 nucleotides) under uncultured soil bacterium. RNAcentral's name for it is "bacterial SSU rRNA". It matches the Rfam family "Bacterial small subunit ribosomal RNA", at positions 8 to 483 of the family's 1533-position model. The record is from RNAcentral.